GAAAAUGUCUCUUUGUUUUUUGGUAAUUAAAAAUUUUCAUUAAUACCAAAGUGCGUCCAUUACAUAACCAGGCAAAGAGCUGACCUCUUGCCUCUUAAAACAUACGAAAAAGAAAAACCAGCUAUACUCUAACUAUUACAUAUUCAGUUUCUUUUCAUGACACUAGCAGUACUUAUGGAAAGUUCAAUUGUUGAAGUUGAUUCUGCCAGUGAGCAUUUCCCCUGCCAGUGGUGUGCAUAUAUAGUGCGAUUUUCCUGCAUAAUUUAUCUGCAUUGUAGUGUCUGGCUUGAAAACUCAUUUUAUUUCUAGAUAAUAUUAACCAUCAUACCAAAUACACAGCUAAUGAUUGGUUCUUUUUUUGUCUUAUUUUUUGCCCAUACGUUUGCCCACAAUACUUUCUCUUGCCAGUAUCUAAUUGUCCUUUGGAUUUUCAGCCAUUACAGUAAUCUUUGCCAUAGAUUCUUGGUUACUAAGCAUUCAAAUAGUAAAUGGUCUAAAGUUUCUGUGGUUGAGUCACAAUAUAUACAACUUUGAGGCACAUGAAUGCCAAAUUUUAGCAGUCUAUCUACAGUUCCUAGUCUCCUCCUUAUAGCCAGCCAUAGGAUAAAUUUGUGUUGGGGGUGAAGUUGUUAUUGAAGAAUUAUGCUUUUCCAUGAUAUCUUUUGGUACUGAGGUAGCAUCUUGUGUACAACUUCUUGAUACUCAGCUUGCCUUCAAUUACCACAGUUUGAAGUCUAGUCUUCAGACCUCCCUGCAGAGUUGGACAUUGCUUAAUAUAAUCCCUUGAUGCUAUGAUUUUUCGGAUGACCCAUGUUGCAUUUGCUAGGAUAUUACAUGUCUCUACUGCCUCACUCUUCAAGUAAUAUUCUUGGAUUCAUUUAACCUAGAGGCAGUCCUUCCUCUUACUAAUUGCCCAUAAUAGUUUUAAUAUUGCUGCCUUGUUCCACAAUCUCACAUUUUGCAAAUUUAAUCCUCCUACUGCUGUAGGCAUACACAAUUUGUCCCAAGAUAUUAGAGACUUUCUAGAUGUCUCUGUAGAACCUGUCCAUAAGAAAGUUCUACUAAUAGCUUCUAUUAUUUUUAAAAUCUUCUUGGGUAGAAUAAAAAUUUGUGCCCAAUAGGUUUGUUUGCUGAAAAUAACUGCCUUGACCAACUUUAGUCUACCUGCAUAUGAUAACAAUUUGGUAGACCAACAUCUGAUUCUCUCUGUAAUCUUAGGGGUAGACAUUGGCUCACUAUGAGUUUUUUUUUUAAGAGAGAGGGACCCCCAGGUAUUUGAAUGGGAUUUCUCCUUCCUUGUAUCCAAGUACCUGAAGAAGUUCAUGCUUUAUCUGAUAUUUCAUACCUCCAUAUACAAGGAUCUUUUCUCUGAUUUUUCUUGAAGGCCUAAUGCUGUUGAGAAUCUUGCAAGUGCCUCUUGCAACAGGUGAAUUGACUUUACUUCAGCCUUGCUGAACAUUAGCAAAUCAUCCGCAAAACUGAUUUGAACCACACCCAUCUUUUUACAUCUGGGAUUGCAAUGACAAAUAGGUAAGGGGACAUAGGGUCCCCUUGCUUUAUGCCCUUUUUCCCUGUAAUGGCUUUGACAAGCAACCAUUGAUUACAAGGGAAUAGGAAACAGAUGUCACACAUUCUAUGAUCCAUGUUAUGAAUUUGCUUGGGAAUCCUAAUUUAGCUAGCAACACCUUCAUAACCCCCCACUCAAUUGAGUCAUAAGCCUUUCUAAGGUCCACUUUCAUGACACAUAUAGGUGAUAAUCCUUUCCUGGUAUACCACUUAAAGAUUUCAUAGCUGAACAAGAUAUUGUCUACUAUAUUCCUACCUUCCACAAAAGCUGAUUGAGAAGGGUUUAUAAUAUGCUGGGCAAUACCUUUGAUUCUGCCUUUCAGUAUUUUAGUGAGGAUUUUGUAGACUGUGGUGCAGUAAGCUAUGGGUCUAUAAUCCCUCACAUAAGAUGGAUUGGUUACUUUGGGGAUUAAGGUCACAACUGUAUGACUGAAAGCUUUCAAAAGUUUUCUAGAUUCCAAAAAUUCUUUUACAGCAUCAAUUACAUCCUGUUUUAUCAUGGGCCAAUUUUGUGUAAAAAAUUCAGCUGGAUAGCCAUCAAUACAUGGGGAUUUAUUAUGCGGCAUGAUUUUUAUGGCUAUAUAGAUUUCUUGCUCAGUAAUAAGAGUGAUUAGCUUGCAUUUCUAAUCAUGUGAUAGGCAGGGUCCACUUCUGAUAACUUCAAUAUUUGGACAGGGUAGUUCUGUUGCUGCUGAGCUAAUGAGGUUUGAGAAAAAUUUGGUGAAUUCAGCUUCAACUUGCAUUGGAUCCUCUAACUUAUUUCCCUGUUCAUCAUAUAUACUAGUAAUGGCACUCUUGCUUGUCCGAAGCUUUAGCUGCGCAUGGAAAUACUUUGUUUGCAUCCCCCCAUCUAUCCAAUUGACUCUAGCUUUCUACCUGUAAACUAGCUACUCAACUUUACUCUAUUUCUUGAGUUCACUCAGCCAGAUUAUUUCUUGCUUAAUUAAAUUGGGACAUAGAGGCUUUCUAAUAAGCAUGCCUUGUGUAAUCUCAAGACCUUGUAUAGCCUGCUGGAUUCUUUGACUGUAGGAAGCUAAAUAGGUGUUUAAGUUUCUUAAACUAUUCUGCAAUGCCUUUAGUUUAUACCAAAGGUUGAACAUUUUAGUACCUUGACAUGGAGUGUUCCAUGUAUCUUCUAAAAUCCUUCUAAAGUCGGGAUGUUUCAACACUAUCAUGUAUAAUUUGAAAGGUUUUGGACCUGUUGGUGGCUGAGAGCACAUACUGAUAACUAUGGGAGAAUGAUCAGAUAUUUCAGGAUUCAAAAACUCUGCCUCUACAUGACUAUAAGUAGAUACCCAGUGAGAGUUACUGAAAGCCUAAUCUAUUUUAGAAUAUACUCUACUACUGGGGUCCUUCCUAUUGUAGAAGGUGAAAUGACAUCCUUUAGCUUUGAGCAUUGUAAGAGAGAGGGUAGUGAGACACCCUUGGAAGUUGUCAACUUCACUAGGCAACACAGGUGAGCCAAUUCUAUCUUCUGUUGUCAAAAUAUUGUUGAAAUCACCACUAAGCAGCCAGGGAUUCUAAAUAUUUUGUUCUAGCUGAAGUAAGUCUUACCAUAGUACUUCCCUAUGUUGAUGUUCAUUCCUAGCAUAUAUUAUAGUCUGGUAAAACUGGGAGUGGUUUGCAUGGAGCUCGACCUUACAAUGUAUAAAUUGUUCAUGAAGGAGCUCCACCUGCAAGUUUAUGUUUGCCUUCCAGAAAAUCCACACCCUGCCAUUGUAGGCGAUAGGGUAGUUGCAUCUAUGAUUCCACCACUUGCAACUUUUGCUAUUACCUUUUUUGCUUUAUUUUCUUUCACUCUAGUGUCCAACACACCCAUUAUUUUCACUUUAUUCUUCUGCAGAAAAAGUUUUAACUCUUUCUGUUUUGAGGACUGAUUCAGUCCUCUUAUGUUUCACGUUGAUAGUAUCAUGGAGAUUUGUGUUGCAUUUCCUCAUUUUCAAUAUUACUAGUACCUUCCUGCAUUAGCAUUGCAAAUCUAUUUACUAUGUUGCUGGAACUAGUUGUUGUCUGUUUUCCUUUUAUGCUUCUAGCCAUUGUGAUCCCUUGUUUACAUAUAAUUUCAUUGUCCCUUCCCUGUUGAACCUCUGAUGAAGCCUAUGUCUCUCCUGAAUCUUCUUUCCUUACUUGCGCUUCUUUCAUUGUCCAUUCCUGCCUAAUCCGUGGGCGUUGCCUUUCCUUUUUGUUCCUUCUUCUUCGCCUGUUCUUCACAUCCUGGAAUUCACCCUCCGUUGUGGAGUUUUCUUUCAUCCAACAAUCUUCUGUUGUGUGCCCAAGCUGUAAGCAUUCACUGCAAAAUUUAGGUCGCCAGUCAUACUCAACAUAUUAGUAAAGCUUCCCCCUGGAGUGUUUAAUUCAAUAGUAUCUGGGAGCGGUGUGACAAUAUCCACUUCAACCAGGAUUCUAGCAUAGGAGAUACGACUUAUAUUUGCAGUGAAUUGGUCCGUGUAUAAUGGUCGUCCCACUGCACUCGCUACUUUGCCGAGAGCUUCAGUCGACCAGUAGCCCACCGGAAGACCUGGGAGAGUUACGCAUAACAGAAUUGUAGUAAUACAAUCUUGGUUGAAAAUGAAGUUCACCUGCUAGUCAUGAAGUACGAAAGUCUUGUUGUGAAAAGUAUACAAGCCAGCCUGCUUCACCUUUUCACAGUCCUCCAUAGAAUCAAAUCGAAAGAUGAAAUAACCUUCAUCAUCCUGUAGUACCUGAUGUUUUUGGGAAAAACCCCAUGCCUGCGAGAUGUAGCUUUCCAUUGUCCUCAGGUAUGGCGUAUCUCCUAUAACGUAGCCAAUAAUGGCCAAUAAUGUCUCUUUUCUUUCUUGGGUUAAUUUCAACUGUCUACGUGACAUGUUUAAGACAAUAAGAUCAACAAAUAUUUUGAUCCUUUCUACAUAUUUUUAGUUUAAGACCAUAAAAUUAAAAAAUAUUCGUUACUUUUUCUAUAACUUUGUGUUAAGUCAAAAUCAAAUAAAUAAGUUAAAACAAAGGGAAUAAAAGCCUUAUAAGUUAAAAAUAAUAAUUUUUCUUAUGAUAUAUUUUAGUCUUUCUUUUAAUUUUCAAACAAAUGCACACACGAAAAAUUUCUCCUUUUUAUUUUAUUGAAAGUGUUUGAAUGAAAGUCUUUAACGAUCUAAAUUGAUUUUUGCCUUAUGUAUAAUUAAUUUCAUUAUUUUUUC
This 4739-nucleotide long non-coding RNA is filed under the name Capsicum annuum. RNAcentral's name for it is "long non-coding RNA (CANN_LNC007143)". The record is from RNAcentral. Lineage: Eukaryota; Viridiplantae; Streptophyta; Magnoliopsida; Solanales; Solanaceae.